RNAcentral lists this ribosomal RNA (252 nucleotides) under uncultured bacterium. RNAcentral's name for it is "partial 16S ribosomal RNA". It matches the Rfam family "Bacterial small subunit ribosomal RNA", at positions 524 to 776 of the family's 1533-position model. The record is from RNAcentral.
UACGGAGGGUGCGAUCGUUACCCGGAUUUACUGGGUGUAAAGGGCGUGUAGGCGGUCUCUCAAGUCCGAUGCUAAAGACCGAAGCUCAACUUCGGGGGUGCGUUGGAUACUGUGAGGCUAGACGGUCGGAGAGGGUAGCGGAAUUUCCGGAGUAGCGGUGAAAUGCGCAGAUACCGGAAGGAACGCCAAUAGCAAGGCAGCUACCUGGACGAUUGGUGACGCUGAGGCGCGAAAGCGUGGGGAGAAAACCGG